UACGAAGGGGGCUAGCGUUGCUCGGAAUUACUGGGCUUAAAGCGCACGUAGGCGGAUUGUUAAGUCGGGGGUGAAAUCCUGGAGCUCAACUCCAGAACUGCCUUCGAUACUGGCGAUCUAGAGUCCGGGAGAGGUGAGUGGAACUGCGAGUGUAGAGGUGAAAUUCGUAGAUAUUCGCAAGAACACCAGUGGCGAAGGCGGCUCACUGGCCCGGUACUGACGCUGAGGUGCGAAAGCGUGGGGAGCAAACAGG
Molecule: ribosomal RNA, 253 nt
Filed under: uncultured bacterium
Lineage: Bacteria
Description: partial 16S ribosomal RNA
Rfam family: Bacterial small subunit ribosomal RNA
Source: RNAcentral